This 338-nucleotide unclassified non-coding RNA is filed under the name soil metagenome. RNAcentral describes it as "partial contains 5.8S ribosomal RNA, internal transcribed spacer 2, and large subunit ribosomal RNA". The stretch from base 1 to 120 matches the Rfam family "5.8S ribosomal RNA", at positions 35 to 154 of the family's 154-position model. The record is from RNAcentral.
GAUCAAGAACGUAGCGAAAUGCGAUAAGUAGUGUGAAUUGCAGAAUUCAGUGAAUCAUCGAAUCUUUGAACGCACAUUGCGCCCUUUGGUAUUCCUUAGGGCAUGCCUGUUCGAGCGUCAUUUGAAACCUCAAGCUCAGCUUGGUGUUGGGUGUCUGUCCCCGCCUCACCGCGGGGACUCGCCUCAAAAUCAUUGGCGGCCGGUACGUUGGCUUCGAGCGCAGCAGAAACGCGAACUCGAGGCCCGGCGGAUCGGCGACCAGAAGUCACUUCUUCACAGUUUGACCUCGGAUCAGGUAGGGAUACCCGCUGAACUUAAGCAUAUCAAUAAGCGGAGGA